This 387-nucleotide unclassified non-coding RNA is filed under the name soil metagenome. Its description in RNAcentral is "partial contains 5.8S ribosomal RNA, internal transcribed spacer 2, and large subunit ribosomal RNA". The stretch from base 1 to 120 matches the Rfam family "5.8S ribosomal RNA", at positions 35 to 154 of the family's 154-position model. The record is from RNAcentral.
GAUGAAGAACGUAGCGAAAUGCGAUAAGUAGUGUGAAUUGCAGAAUUCAGUGAAUCAUCGAAUCUUUGAACGCACCUUGCACCCUUUGGCAUUCCGAAGGGUAUGCUCGUUUGAGUGUCAUUGUACUCUCACACUCUCCGAUCCUAUGGAUUCGGGGAGCGGUGGACUUGGGUGUUGCUGCCUUUCCCUGUGGCUCACCUCAAAUGCGUCAGUGCACCUCUUGGUUGGACAUAGUACGGCGUGAUAAGUGUCUUCGCCGGCACCUCGCAAGAGGGUGGCCGAUCGGGAGCUCUGCGCUUUCAAACCGUCUUCGGACAAUUUCUGACAUCUUGACCUCAAAUCGAGUAGGACUACCCGCUGAACUUAAGCAUAUCAAUAAGCGGAGGA